Molecule: long non-coding RNA, 12395 nt
Organism: Corvus hawaiiensis (hawaiian crow)
Lineage: Eukaryota; Metazoa; Chordata; Aves; Passeriformes; Corvidae
Exons: 3
Source: RefSeq, a predicted model, not a curated record
GAUAGUUUUAUUUCUACAAAUCCUUUUUUCAAAAAUGUCAAAGUCUCAUCAUGAAGAAUAUCUGACAUCAGCUGUAAAGCUGGGAGCUCAUCCUUGAAUAGGUCUAAUCCUUUCUGGUGCUCUGCCAAGUCAGUCUUUUUCAGUUACAUGGAGAGAGCAGUACCACCCAUUUUGUGUGAUCGAAAACUUCAAACAGCAGUUUGAACAACUGUAGUGGCCAAGGGAAAUGGAGAGGGGAAGGAAGCUGACUUGUGCACCUUCAUCUGCUCCCCCGUUACUAACACGGCAGAGGCAGUUCUUACAGGCUGCCAUAAGGAAACACUAUAUAUUUUCCCUCAUCACAAAACUAAGGAAUACAUUUCUCUCCAACUGAUAAGAGACAAGCAUCUUCAUGUUAAGCAUUCUUCUAAGAACAGUGUUAGACCGGGAUCUCCAAUCACCCAUUCUCCAAUCUAUUCCAAAGGAACCCAUUUGUCGUGAAUUGCAUCAUAAUAAACUCAUUUUUCCUGUCCUUUCUCAGGCCUUUGUAAAUGAAAUUCUCAUUGUUCCCUUUUUUGAGUAACCAUAUUUUAGACAUCAAUUUUAAUAUUUUUUAAAACUCUGUCAUCACUUAGCUCAGGUAAGAGAAAAGAAAGUGUGAAAUGGAUUGUCAGAUUCAUCUGACCUAGUAACCCUGGGAAUGCUUAUGUGCUAAAAGCUUUGAAAUAUUUUAUACCCUUCCAAAAAAAAAAACCCUCACAAACUGUAACCUUGGACUCUUAAGUCCAUUUUUUGUGGUCAUGGAUACAAGUAAAUGAAAACCCAAUAGGUUUUCCUUGUCUGCUACUCUUCCAUUCAUGUUGUAAGUGAAAUUCAGGCCUCACUGAGACAGUAGAUGAUUUGUCAUUGAUUCAAUAAGAUCACAAAAUCUUUGGAUUUUUUGCAGCUUCAAUGGCUGUUUUCUUAGUUACCUGGUUAUGGUGGGAAAUUCAUAUUAAGUCCACAUGUGUAUUAAAAUGUGAGUUUUCUUACAAUUAAAUUUGGACCAACCUUCUUAUUCAAUUAUUCACUAUUUGUUUGUGGGUUUACAUAAUCAAGUACUCGGAUGUCUUAUGAACUCUGUUGACAUUGACACAGGAUUUCCAAAAAUUGAAAAAAUUGAAACUUGCCACCAUCCCCAGCAAAUACCAGAUAUUUUAAUUUUAAAAGCUUUGUUGCUGUUGUUGUAUCAGAUUUUUAACUGAACACUUUAUUUUUAGCUAUUGUACUUUAAGGGCCAAGUUACUGAUAUCUCAGUAGACUUUACAGCUCUAAGUAAGGAAAUAGUGUCAUCCCUAUUUCCCAGGGAUAUAAAACCUUCCCACUCUAACCUCCCAUAUUUUCAGGCCAUUCCAUUCCAUUUAGUGACUCCCAGACUGACCAGAACAACUCAUGGUCUGAAAAGAAAACUCGGAAUUUAUUCAGUUGUGUUUCAAAAGUAACAAAAAUGAUGAACUGAAGCAGAAACAAUGAGCUGUCAAUAGGGAAGAUUAUAGUGGACCUGAAUACUGAGCUUGGUUCUCCUGGGUCUCAAACUAACCAUGCUAACCACUUACCCUCCAUUCCACUCUACCCAAGGCAGCUUCCAACAGAAGAAGAGAGAAACUGCUCUGAGAUUUUAAACAAUGUUAGAGCUCAUGAAGUGUUACUGGCUAAAUGCCACCUUGGCAAUGUUAGAACUUUGCAAAAGAAUUAUUCAAGCUGAACUCCUGUUAAAACUCACCUAAAUACAAGUGGUCUAAUUAAGACACUGGUCAAGGGCUUUUGCCAUGGAUUGUUUAUGAGAUGAUAAACUAGAGGCAAUCAUAGGUGCAGGUUCCUGGUGAUUAUGAAAAACAGGUCAUUUGUAGAAUUUCUACACAGGGGUUCUGUCUUUGGACAUCUGACUUAGCAAAUACAACCUUGUGUCCCUAUUCCUUCACAAAAUGUGUAGGAAGAGUAGGCUUCCAUCUAGCCUUAUGCCAAGACAAAAUUCUGCCAUGCACCAAGAUGCUCCAUUCCUGGAAAAAUUCUUCUGCAGGGGGGAUGUAGGGAUGUAAUCCCAAACACCCAUCUACUCUCUAAGCAAUAACAAUGCAGGAGCAUCAUGUGUGGGAGUUAGCAAUCCACAUUAGAUUGCCAAAACUACUGCAUUUUUGCUUGGUGAUCCUCAAAGAGCACAGCAUUUGGUGGAUAUCUGAGAGGACAUGAGAAGCUUGUUCAUGGCUUAGCCUCUGUCUUUGUAGAUCAAAGAGCAAACUUGUUUGGCUUACUCUGAAACACACACAAUCUAAAAAGUAACAUUUUCUAAGGAAAUUAAAAGGACUAAGUAUUUGUAUCAGAAAACUAUAUCAGUCUUGACCUUUAUAUUCUGUCAGGAGAAUGUCUUCAUCAGGCUAAAAUAUUCUCUGCAUCCAGUUGAGGAAUGUGGCUGGGCAAUGGGGAACUCUGCAGGAGUAAAAGAGAGUGAGUUUUUCCUUUUUCCUUCAUAUACCAGUUCAUAUUAUCUGUUUCCAUACUUUCUCCAGAGCAGCAGGAUACUCAGCUGUUCACAGCUAUGUAUAGGGCUGCCCUGUCCCGUUUGCUGCUGUCUGUGAAGUUUGAUUUGUGUUUAUUCACAAUAAAUGGUACGGUAUAGUGUAUGCUGUAUAUAAAAUAAUCCAGCAGCUUUGUGGCAGAGGGAAAAAUACCACAGCUGGUGAGGUGGAACAAGAGAAAGGGAGGGGAAGAUGCAAUGAAACUGGCCCUUCCUCAAAUACAGCUGUGCUUGCUUACUUGGAGGAGGCAUUGGGUUUGCAGGAUGGGGCGAGCAGAAGGGAGUUAGCGCAGUCCCAGAGAUGCUUGAGAGGAGCAGGGUACAGAAACAAUGUUAACCUCAAGGGUGUUAAAAACAGGAAGCUUCUUAGGGAACUCAGAGGAGCCCCUACAAAGCGAACCUUUGGAAGUUGCUGGACUGGAAAUUGAGACUGGGAGAAAAUACUUGUCCUGCAAAUUCACUGGGAAUUUUGUUUUCAAAUCCUCCUCCAGCUGGCCUCUUAGACAGUUAACAGUCUGUAGCUUAUUAGCCUGUGUUAUGCCAAGGCUGGGAGCCUUCUAAUGUAUUGACAGGUAUUGACCAGCUCACAGAUGCUGUUGAUGGGGUUCUGACAUAUUCUUUUUUCCUAAUGUGGAUGAAAAAACUCUUUCUGUAUUUCCAGCUCUUGCUAUAUGACAAUAUCUAUGGAAAGAGUUUUGUUGUUUGCACUUAGAAGUGCAUCACAAAAUUUAAGGACUAUCUCUUUGUUUGUUUUUUUGCUUGCUUGUUUUGUGUUUUGAAACAAAUAAAGCCUUGCAAAGCCCUACUGUAGACCACACUGGAACUUCAGAUAUUUGCUACUUGCUCUUAUUUUUCCAUUUAUUUUUAUAUCCCUUUUGUGGCUGGACACCAGGUGCCCACCAAAGCUGCUCUACCACUCCACUCCUCAGCUAGACAAGGGAGAGAAAAUAGAACAAAAGGCUCAUGGGUUGGAAUAAGGACAGGGAGAGAUCACUCACCAGUUACCAUCAUGGGCAAAACAGACUCAACUUGAGGAUAUUAGUUUAACUUAUUGCCCAUAAAAGCAAUGUAGAGCAAUGAGAAAUAAAGCCAAAUCUUAAAAACAUCUUCCCCCGUACUUCCCUUUUUCCUGGGCUUAACUUUUUUCUCACCCCACCCCAGUGGCACAGGGGCAAAUAGAAUGGGGGCUGUGGUCAGUUCAUCACGUGUCUGUCGCUUCUUCCUCCUCAGGGGGAGACUCCUUGCACUCUUUCUCUACUCCAGUUUGGGAUCCCUCCCACAGGAGACAGUCCUCCAUGAACUUCUCCAUGGGCUGCAGUUCAUCACAAACUGAUCCAGCGUGGGUCCCUGCCAGGAGCUGUGUGGGUGCAGUCCUUCAGGAACAGACUGCUCCAGGAUGGGUCUCCUGCAGGGUCACAAGUCCAGAGAACCUGCUCUAGUGUGGGCUCCUCUCUCCACAGGUCCAUGGGUCCUGCCAGGAGUCUGAUCCAGCACAGGCUUCCCACAGGCUCACAGCCAGAAGGCAUCCACCUGCUCUGGUGUGUGUUCCUCCAUGGGCCGCGGGUGGAUCUCUGCUCCAUCAUGGACCUCCAUGGGCUGCAGGGGAGCAGCCUGACUCACCAGGGUCUGCACCAAGAGUUGCAAGGGAAUCUCUGCUCUGGCACCUGGACCACAUCCUCCCUCUCCUUCUUCACUGACCUGGGUGGCUGCAGAGCUCUUCCUCUCACAUGUUCUCACUCCUCUAUCUGGCUGGAAUUCUGCAGGGUUUUUUCACCCUUCUUAAAUACCAUAUCCCACAAGCUCUACCACUGUCACUGAUGGUCUUGGCCUUGGCUAGUGGCAGUUCUUUCUUGGAGCCAGCUGCUGUUGGCCCUGGCACACAUGGAGGAAGCUCCUGGAAGCUUCUCACAGAAGCCACCUCUGUAGCCCCCUACUGAUAAUACCUGGCCAUCCAAACCCAUUAAAGCCUUGUAACUCUCCGGACAAAAAUUCUUUUAUAGGUAAAGGCAAAUUUCUGGAUUUCUGCUGCAUUGGGACCAAAUCACUUGAAUUUCAUUUUGUGAACAAACGCAGUUUCACAGCUCAUUGCUCAGACAAUGCACAGCAGAGAGGACACAAAACAAAGGGAAAAAAUGUAGCCCGUAGUAAAACUAGUGGUAGCUAACCAGAAAAAGGUUUUCAUUCCAAGUAGGAAUGGUAAUUUCCCUCAUAUAAAGCCCUCAAGUGGUGCAGAGAAGAUGUUGCCACUUCAACCUGGCAAAUAGAUACAUGGGCUUUUUUUCCUCCUUAAGCCAUCCAUAAUAGAUACAGGUUUGUAAACCUUUGUCCUGUAAUCUUUGCAAGUAAACAAAUGCAAGACAAAUUAAAACAGGUGAGACUACCUAGACUCACUUCAGCAGACUGAGGCUUUCCCCGAAAGAGUUAUACGUCAGCUGAAUAAGGUAAUCCAAAAACAGGGUGAGGUGAUCUGCAUUUAUCUACAUUCAGGAAAUAACUGCACAAAAUGAACCUAAUUCUUCUCACAUUUGCACAGUUUUCAGAUGAAUUCCAGUAUGAUUUCUCUUUAGAGCAUCCUGAAUGAGAAUCAAAUGCAUGGUUUCACACAGCAGCAAGGAAUCCGAAUAAGCUGGUCUGCCUUUCAGCAGUGGUGAAAAUGGGCAUAUUAUUUUGGAACAGCCUAUGCAGCUGCUAUAUAUAUAUAUUUUUUUUUUUUUUUAAUAUAUAUAUAUAUAUAUAUUAUUAUAUGUCCACAUGGCUUCAGUCAGAAUACAGGCAAGUAUUACGACAGGCAGUGCUUGUGAGAGCUGUCAGUUGUACCAGGUGUACAAGCCCUUCUCCCACUCCCCCACCAGGCCAGGGGUUACACAGGAUGCCUGUGCAGGUCCAUCCUGUCCUUCUCUUAGCUCCUGCUCAUAGGAGGUGGGAUCCAAAGGAGCUUCUCUCAGGGAUGACAGCAGCACUCCAAUGCAGCAGCUUAGGGUCUUGAGGAAGUCAUCAGCUCUCCAUGGAUGUCUGCCAGAACUGAGAGUGACUCCUGGGAUGUUCACAGCUGCACAAAGUCCAGCUCCAUAGAGAACACCGAAAGCGAGUGCCUUAAAAGUAUCUUUGUGGAGAUGCUUUUCAGUUAGUCUUUUGGGUAGAAAUGCUUCUGAAAUACUGCACAGGCUUUUUUUGCAAAAAAUGUUCAACAUAUUCACCUCAUUGCCUGCGGGAACUGCUCUUUAGUAUCUAAGAGCUGUUCAUGAGUGGAUCUGUGGCUCUGUGCCUAUCUCCUCCUGUGAGCAUUUGUAUCUUUUCUCAUCUGUUAACAGCUUGGUUAAUUUUCCAAGGAGAUUAGAAGCAAGGCCUUAAGAAUGACAAAUGCUACUGAAAAUAAAAGGGGAGAAUUAAGAAGAAAGGCCCUGCAGACAAUAUCUAUUUUGCUGGGAUUUGGUUCUGCUGAGGAAUACUUUCUAGUGGAUACAAAUAAUAAGUCAUUACCUUUCCCAGAUGAUAGGAAUGCAUAAUAGCUGCACUCUUCUGAGUCUCUUCUGAGUAUCGUUUCUUUACUUUUUUCCAAAUGAGUUCCUUGUAAAAAUGUCACACUGCAGUGCUGCUCAAAGGCUACUUAAUAUUCUUCUUUUCUUAAAAGAGCUGUGUAUUUCCUGAAAUCUGAGGUUUCUCUAAUCAGCUCUGAAAACGGCCCUUCUUCCACAUUGUUCUUCUUACCAAAUUAGAAGGAAACACACAAAAAUCCCCCUAAUCUGUGUAUUCUUCAUUUGGGAAAAUGAUAAGCUUUGGGAGCAACAUUUUAAUUGUUGAGAUUCUUCUGUUGACUAAAAUAUUACUAAAGAUAAAGGAUUUGGUCUAGUCGUGUUUUUAGAAGUACUUACAAACCUGAGCAUUUUACAAAAUCUGACUCACUUUGUUCAAGCUUAGAAGGCACCAGGCAUGUCAUUAUGAAGUUCUUGCUCAUGAUAUGGAACAUUAUCAGGUUUGAACUGGUUUUAGUGGCAUUUUUCAAACAACAAAAUAGAAUCUGUAAGAAAAUAGAAUGUGUAGUUCAGUGGAAAAUACAAUAUUUCACAGUGUUUUACUCCAAACAGGGAUAAAAAUGUAAAAUCAGAAUUGUAUUUAUGCAGAAGUAGCAUGAUUUCUUAAUAUUGGAACACUUACUGUUUUAUAUAAGAACAUUAGAAAAUACUGAUGUUAAAAAUAUCACAUUAAAAUGGACAUUUUAGGGUUCAAAUCUACAGUGAUUCAAAAUGAUAGUUGAACUGAGCAUUUUGUCCCAUAAAUAUGAGCCAUUUUUCUUCACUUAUACUUAACUAAAUUUAAUACAUUUAAAUUGUCUGUUAAAAAUGGUGAAAUACGUUUUACUAGCACUUAAAAAUUAAUAUAACUAUUGUCAGAAGAUGUUUUACCGAAAAAUAUUAUGAUCAAUUUUAAAGUAAAAUAAUCCUAGAAAUACCUGCUCAGGCGCAAGUUUUUAUAUAUAUUUUGAACCUGUAAAACUGCAAUAGGGCACAAUUUUGCAUGUGUACAAUUUAAAAUGGUGUGAACAUACCUCUUCAUUUCCAAAGGUGCAGGAAAGGACAAUAACUGUAUUUAACAUUGCUUAUGGAGCCACAUAAGCACUGCUGAGUGUGUUGAACUAAUUUUAACUGAUUUUUUUCAAAAAGUCGAGUUAUUUUCCUUCCCUCCACAAGUAUAUCUGUCUUCUAGAGCUCUGGAAGGCACAACACUCCAGCUGCAUUACAUACGUCCUACAAAAGCCCUCAAAAGCACCAAGCACAGGAGCUGUGAUGUAGAGAUACAUCCCAUGAUAGUUUGUUGGAGCGAAGCACAAAAAACAGGAUAGAGAAGAACGUACAGGAGGAUCAUGAAUCUUUGCAGAUUCUGCUAUUCUCCAGUACUAAAUGCAGAAAAAGCAACGCCUACAAAGUUUGCUUGAGCUAUAAAAUAAACAGCAAACAGAUUCACUACUACUCCUGAAAAUUGUGAUGAAAUUCCCUUCAUGGAUACUAACAAAAAGUUCCAUGUUCCCUCCCCAGAAAAAUGAGUGAGGAUUGUAUCAAUAGUCUUAAAUAUUAACAACAACACAGUUGAGACAAAUUAUAAAUUCCAUUUUAAUAUUUUAAUUAUUUUAACUAAUAUAUCUUUAAGUAUUUGUUAAUUUUCUUUCAAGUAUGGAGGUUAUAAUAAUAAAAAUUUUACAAAUAUUUUUCCUUAAUUGUUAUAUUUAUGUUUAUGAACAGGUGAUAUUCUACAUGUGCCAUAAUUUCAAGAGUUACUUGGUUCCUACCAGAACAGCUCCAUUCAGAUAGGUAUGAAAAGCAAGAUAGAAAGCAAGACCUCUGUGGUUUAUUUCAGUCUUUACACGUUCUAGACAUCGAAUUUCUUGUAAGUUUAAGGGGAAAGGAUGAUGGAAAUUGCAAAGAUCAUAAGGAUGUUUGGUCUGUCUGAAUGAAAAUGUCACAAUUCCCAAAAGACAAGAAAUCUUAAGCUUAUAAAGAAUUCACCCACAGUGAAAGAGAUGAAUACUUAAAAGACUCAUCAGCACCUCUUCUGUGAUGUGCUCUAGCCUUAAAAUGAACUUUGGGUUGGCAGAGCUGCAGAAAAAUUGUGUAAUUGCUACAGAGGAGCAGCAGUGAGUGGGUUAGUAGAAGGGGGAAUAGGCAGCAAGCAGGGAAAAGCAGAGGCAUUUAUACAUAUUAUAUUUAUUACAUAUAUCUAAGAUAACCUAAUUCCACCCAGUACCUGCCACAAAGCACUGUGGGGGAUCUGUGGGCACCCUCAGGGCUUGAAACUGCUAUUUCUCUUUCAUUUGAGUUCUUUUCCAGUCCGCUGUUUCUUCGAUUUCUGAUACACAGCACUUAACCCUGUGCAGCAAUGGGAACCUGAGUUUUAAUGAGUGACAAAUGGGUCCUAAAAUUUUAUUAAGUUUGUCACUUCAGGGAGGGGUGUACAUACAUUUCCACAUUAAAGCACGUAUCAGAAACACCAGGAGUUGAAGCGUAGCGCAUACGACCAAAGAAGGAACUAAAUGGAUAGACAUCUCUAGACUUCUUUUUCUUUAAGCAGCAGACCAGACCAUAUCAGCUUCUCUUGUUGCCUGUUGUAAGCACUUCCAAACCAUAUUGGCAGCAUAAAGCACUCCAGUAUUAUUUUGAAUAGAUUCCGCACCUCUUUAAACUUUGGAUCUAGUCAAAAGAAUAAUUCUACAAUAACAGUGCUGCAUUUCUUCCACCCUCUGCUCAUCUCCAGAGCCAGACUAUUUGUUGCAUGAUGCUCUGUAGCUCAGUCUGCUAUCAGCAAUGUAGAAGCAUUACAGCAAUCAGAUGUAAUCUGCUUUAUCACCAGCAAAGAUGUUGCCAGAAAAAUUUCAGAUUACCACAGUUUUUAUACUAACUCAGUAAAAUUGCACAUGGUAUUUAAAGCAUGUCUUGACUUUCUGUUCUGGAGUUGUAUUUUCAAGCACAAAAUUUGUGUGGCUUAGUUAGCAAAUUUUUUUUAAUUGAGCAAGUGCAUACUUUGCACAAAUUAUGAAGGUAGAAUAUGAAACAUGAAGGUAGCUAAAAAUUACAUUUUUAGUAAGGAAAUUUUGCAUGUUUAGCCAAAAGCCAAACUUUUAAGCUGAUUUUCAUUGCAUGAUGAAUUCGUAAAAAAUUUGCUGUGGCCAAAGCGAAAAUUCUGAUCAUUUAGCCUUAUGGCUGAAAUGUCUACUGACCUCUCCUGUGCCAAAGCAACCCCUCUUACUGUGUUCCCACGACUCCCUCUGGUGGCAAACCUCUCAUUCAAGCUGCAGGACAGCCUCUUCCCUUGGUUUUCUCCCUCAUGUUUCAGAUGGAUUAAGAGGCAUGCUGGUGGAUUCUCAUCAGCUGCUCAUCAGCAGCUCAUUCAGGCAGUGGAAGUCCCAUUAAAGUUUUUUGUUUGCGUUGUAGGAAACUUUUUCUUAAUUUCAGUAAGAGCUACCUGUUCAACCUAAUAAAGAAACUACCAUUAAAUAUGCAUAAUAUUGAAAAGACUGUAUAAAAAUGCUAAUUUGAAUAAAUAAUUUGUAAAAAAAUAAUUAAUAUUUCUGGUUUACAUAAUUCCCUUUCACGUAGCCCACCACUAUAUAUACACCUCGGAAAUGGUCCUGGUUUCUCUCAGGCCAGGCUGCUGAGGCCAAGAGCCUCAUCACAAAUGCAAAGGGACUUGUAGUUCCCAGUUAGGGUCAUGCUAGGAGAACUAAACCUGAGUUUUCUUCUUCAGUGGGGAAAUUCACAGCACUCAGUUAUAUAAAAGAAUCUUAAUACCUAUUAACUCACUUCCAUUUUAAAGGUUUUUCUUUUCCCACCAUUGGAGACAGCACUGCCCACCUGCUGCAGCCCUUGCAGACCAUCCUCCCCUACCUGCUGCAUAGGCACGCGGCAGUGGAGCCUGGCAGUCUGUGUGGGCAAGAAAUCCUAGAAACAUGGUAGAAUUUUGUGGCGGAAGAUCCACCAUAGCCUGACUGGCCAUCCAAACUGAUUUGGUACAAAUUAAGUCACUUUAAUGAUGGCUAAAGUAAUUCGUUAACACUGAAUUGCAAAUUUUUCACUUGUGACUUGUUCUUUCUUGUCCCCAUCUGACCUCAUCAAGCAAUAACAAUGGCUAAAAUAUUAAGAGAAAUUACAGAUUUUAAAGAAAAAGUGAUCAUCCUCAAACUCACAGCUGAAAAGAAGAUGAAAAUACUUCUGUUUACCCUGCUGUCAAAUCAAACGUGUUUAUUGGUUACAUUACAAAGAUCAGUAACCGGGGUUUUUGCAAGCAAGGGCACUGUGUUGGUAAGUCACAUUCCAUACCCUCACCAAGCAUGUAAUUCCUCCUCUCAUCAUGAAUAAAUCAUCUUAGCUGAGUGCAUAAGGAUGAUUACAAAAGCAGCAUUACUGGCCCAAAAGGCAGAAUGGUAAGUGGUAUGUCUGAGAAAUGAGGGGAGAAUGACCUAUGAAGCACUGUAAAGCAGGAUGGUGAUGUACUGGUGAUCAAAACAGAGCAGUCUGCCAUUAAACCAUAGUGUGCAUUACUGGGAGACUAAGGAGCUCUCUUUAUGUCACCUCUGCUAAACAGACUCCUACUAUUUUUAACAUUUUAAUUCAGGUUAUAAUUCAGGUCUCUCUUUCAGACACACGUGUGUCCCUGAUGAUAAAUACAUACACAAUAUAUGUGACAUAGUUUUCCAUUGCCUAAAAUGGAAAUUUUUAUUCAGUGAUUUCUUAUUCCAUGGCUGUUGUUCUUCUGAAGAAAGGUAGUUCCUCUUACGUGAUCUUAGUGAAUUCAUUAUGACUAAGACUCUGGUCUUUAUCCUGUGAGUAUCUAUGCAUGGGGUUUUUAUGCUUGAAUUUUAUUUUUCUAGAUGAAUCAUACGUAUUGCAGCUCCCAUGAAGCAGAGGCAUGCCUGCCCCAGCAAUGUGAAAUCAAAAUAAUGGUGCAAAUGAACCUGAACACAUCAGUCCUGUCCCCAUCUGACAAAAUAGAGUAAACCCUUGCAACACAUUUUGUCCUCUUAGGUUUGUCCUGUAUUAGAACUUCUUAGAAUAAACUUAGGAUGGCCAACUACAAAAAUAAAGAUCAGCACCAGAGACUAUUCCCAGAGCCCAGUACCAUACCAAUGCCAUAACCAUUUAGUUGCAUUUUUCCAUCCUGAGACUUUUUUUCUCUGUCCAAGUGGAUCUUCUUUUUCUAGCUACAGAGUUUCAACUCUAUAGCUGAAGGCAGAGCUAGCUAAACCAGCUGAAAAAAAGAGCACUCUCCUGGUACAGGGACAGUGUGGAUCCAAACACCUAUAAACUCAGGAAUGGGUAGAAAUCAGAAUUUCCUGUUCCUGGGGGAAUGUUCUUUAGAUGGACUAUUCUUAAAUGACACCCUCUGUGAAGACUCUGUUCCUUUCCACAUUACAGCUUAUUAUGAACAGAAACCUUAAUUGUUCAGUAUGCCACCUGUUUGACAGAAGGAAAUGAGGAACAAUUACUGUCUGUGGAUUUCACAUGGAGCCAGGAAAGACAAUGAAAAAUGAAGCAAGUUAUGUUUUAUAAGGGAAAAUGAAAAGCCAUUUAUGAGCACUGGAAUUAAUGGCUCUCCUUGAGAUAUAUAUAUAUUUUUAUUAUUUUAUAUGUUUUUAUGUCUCACAGUUGAAUUAUAUUAGCUUUACCUUCUUUCUGGUACUUCUCAAAUCUCUCGUCACACUUUGAUGAGGUGUGGGGAGCUGGGAGUGGGAAUGGGUACCGACAGACUGAGGAUCUCCUGCUUCUGCAUGUCCAUGUGAGCCAAAGAGAGCCACUCUGCUCAUCCCUCAUCCCAGGGAGGAGAAGGCUUUGUGAGCAAAACAUGUUGUGUGCUGGUCCCUUACAGGAGCUCCUUAAACAUCACUAAACUGGUGGCAUUCCCAGGUGUGGCCAAUUCUGGUUGAACAGGUCAAAAGCUGGUUGUGAGGAGCUGAAGUAAUCACAAAUAUGAAACCGCAAUAAAAAUGCAGAAAUAAAUAAAGAGACUAAAAUUAUAUAUAGUAAUGACAAAUUAAUUACAAAUACAGUUGAGUCGCUGCAAAAUCUGCUGGCUCUUCCACAUCAUCUCUGUCCCUUCUUCCAUUCACUUCAUCUGAUUAAAAUACUCACUUUAUGUCAUGUCUGACAUCAAGUAAGAAGAACUUGGAAAAUCCCACCCAGGACUUCUCAAGACCAGGUGCCUCCAAAGUAUCCAGACUUGCCCUGGAAAAAUUGGGUUUUGAGGUUCUCAAAACCACAAAAAGCUUUUGGUGAAUGACUUCAAGCUGGGAAACCAACGGCUGCCUUUCUCCAAUCUCUCAGAGCAGUGAAUCUAUGGCAAAUAAAUAGUUGCUGUCUAGCAACAUUGAUAUUAA